This 343-nucleotide unclassified non-coding RNA is filed under the name soil metagenome. RNAcentral's name for it is "partial contains 5.8S ribosomal RNA, internal transcribed spacer 2, and large subunit ribosomal RNA". The stretch from base 1 to 120 matches the Rfam family "5.8S ribosomal RNA", at positions 35 to 154 of the family's 154-position model. The record is from RNAcentral.
GAUGAAGAACGUAGCGAAAUGCGAUAAGUAAUGUGAAUUGCAGAAUUCAGUGAAUCAUCGAAUCUUUGAACGCACAUUGCGCCCCUUGGUAUUCCGAGGGGCAUGCCUGUUCGAGCGUCAUUACACCACUCAAGCACUGCUUGGUAUUGGACAUCGUCCGUCGAAAGGCGGGCGUGCCUCGAAGACCUCGGCGGGGUUUCUCCAACUUCGGGCGUAGUAGAGUUAAAUCGAACGUCUUAUAAGCUUGGUGGGACUCCAUUGCCGUUAAACCUUUUAUUUUCUAGGUUGACCUCGGAUCAGGUAGGGAUACCCGCUGAACUUAAGCAUAUCAAUAAGCGGAGGA